Molecule: ribosomal RNA, 253 nt
Filed under: uncultured bacterium
Lineage: Bacteria
Description: partial 16S ribosomal RNA
Rfam family: Bacterial small subunit ribosomal RNA
Source: RNAcentral
GACGUAGGAGGCGAGCGUUAUCCGGAUUCACUGGGCGUAAAGCGCAUGUAGGCGGAUGUCUAAGUCGUGUGUUAAAGCCCCUGGCUCAACUGGGGGAGGUCAUGCGAGACUGGAUGACUUGAGGGCAACAGAGGCACGUGGAACUCCCGGUGUAGCGGUGGAAUGCGUAGAGAUCGGGAAGAACACCCGUGGCAAAGGCGGCGUGCUGGGUUGCAACUGACGCUGAGAUGCGAAAGUGUGGGGAGCAAACGGG